Molecule: ribosomal RNA, 253 nt
Filed under: uncultured bacterium
Lineage: Bacteria
Description: partial 16S ribosomal RNA
Rfam family: Bacterial small subunit ribosomal RNA
Source: RNAcentral
UACGGGGAGUGCAAGCGUUGUUCGGAAUCAUUGGGCGUAAAGCGCGUGUAGGCGGCUCAGCAAGUCCGGUGUGAAAGCCCUCGGCUUAACCGAGGAAGUGCAUUGGAAACUGCGGAGCUUGAGUGCUGGAGAGGGUAGCGGAAUUCCCAGUGUAGAGGUGAAAUUCGUAGAUAUUGGGAGGAACAUCGGUGGCGAAGGCGGCUACCUGGACAGCAACUGACGCUGAGACGCGAAAGCGUGGGGAGCAAACAGG